UAACCCUAAACAUAGACAGCAACCCUACAACACUGUCCGCCAGAGAACUACAAACGAAAAGUUUAAAACUCAAAGGAUUUGGCGGUACCCCAUUCCGACCUAGAGGAGCCUGUCCUAUAAUCGAUACUCCACGCUUUACCUUACCCCCCCUUGCAAUUCAGCCUAUAUACCGCCGUCGUCAGCCUACCUUAUGAAAGAAGCAAAGUAGGCAAAAUAGUUAUCAACUAAUACGUCAGGUCAAGGUGUAGCAAAUGGGGAGGAAGAGAUGGGCUACAUUUUCUAAAUUAGAAAACACGAACGGCACAAUGAAACCUGUGCCCAAAGGCGGAUUUAGCAGUAAGACAGACAAGAUACCCUGUCUAAAGCCCGCUCUAGGGUGCGCACACACCGCCCGUCACCCUCA
RNAcentral lists this ribosomal RNA (403 nucleotides) under Subdoluseps bowringii (Christmas Island grass-skink). Its description in RNAcentral is "partial 12S ribosomal RNA". It matches the Rfam family "Bacterial small subunit ribosomal RNA", at positions 797 to 1405 of the family's 1533-position model. The record is from RNAcentral. Lineage: Eukaryota; Metazoa; Chordata; Lepidosauria; Squamata; Scincidae.